GUCCAAUUGUUUAUUUCUAUGCAUCCAUCUUAUUGAGAAAUGUUUUCCUUAGAUUAUCUUUGUUUCAUUCUUUGUUGAGUCUCAUGAUUAAUUUUGCCACUUAUAUUGCCUGGAGGCAUAAUCCUUAUACAGAGAAACUAACUACUGGAGUUAAAUUGUGACUUUGAUGAUUAACACAACCUCUUGCCUGUAUUGGUAGUAUAUUGUGCAUGCUGAGUUUGGAUUAUUAAACAUGAAUCAAUCCUGGUAUACUUCAUAUGUGGUUUAUUCUUCUCCCAAUACUUCGGGUGAAUAUACUGGAGUUAGCAAUUCGUCAUCUGAGUUGAAGGAUCCUUUCCUGUUACUGUGUUCUUUGACAAUAGGGUUGUAAUUUGAGCUGAUGAACAACUUUUUCAGUUACAGUUUGUGAAGAACAUGGAGAUGUAUCUUUAUUUCUAGCAUCUAAAUUGGUUGAUUGGAUGUCCUUUCUUUUUAGCAUCUGAAUCCAUGGAGGAGCUCUUUCCUGUAAGGCAUUUCCCUGUCUCUAUUAUGUGCUGUAGUUUGUUCACCAAGGAACUUCUCACAAUGAGUAGGUUUGAUAUAAUCCCCCUUCCAGGAAUCUAAUCACAUCAGAUGCUAAGUGGUGGGAUUUUAUUUUAUUGCCAUGUUUUUGAUGUUUAUGGAUAUGCUAAAUUCUGGUUUCAUCUGAGACAUCUUUGGUAAUCUGCUGCCUGACUCUGGAGGAUGUCCAAUUUGAUUUAUGACCUACCGGGUGCUAGUCCAAUAAUUAAUUUCUACUAUGCAUGUUAUUGAGGUAAAAUUUUCCUUGGAUUGCCAACCCUUGUUUCAUUGAAUCUCAUGAUUAAUUUGCCACUUACAAUGUCUGGAGACAAUUCAUAUACAGAGUAACCAACUACUGGGUGUUUAAUAGUUACUGAUGAUUAACGUGUGCUUUUGUAUGUAUGUGCA
Ipomoea nil (Japanese morning glory) is the source of this 948-nucleotide long non-coding RNA. RefSeq lists it as uncharacterized. The transcript has 3 exons. NCBI's taxonomy places the organism in Eukaryota, Viridiplantae, Streptophyta, Magnoliopsida, Solanales, Convolvulaceae. The record is from RefSeq and is a predicted model, not a curated record.